GAUGAACGCUGGCGGCGUGCCUAAUACAUGCAAGUCGAGCGAACAGAUGAGGAGCUUGCUCCUCUGACGUUAGCGGCGGACGGGUGAGUAACACGUGGAUAACCUACCUAUAAGACUGGGAUAACAUCGGGAAACCGGAGCUAAUACCGGAUAAUAUAUUGAACCGCAUGGUUCAAUAGUGAAAGACGGUUUUGCUGUCACUUAUAGAUGGAUCCGCGCCGCAUUAGCUAGUUGGUAAGGUAACGGCUUACCAAGGCAACGAUGCGUAGCCGACCUGAGAGGGUGAUCGGCCACACUGGAACUGAGACACGGUCCAGACUCCUACGGGAGGCAGCAGUAGGGAAUCUUCCGCAAUGGGCGAAAGCCUGACGGAGCAACGCCGCGUGAGUGAUGAAGGUCUUCGGAUCGUAAAACUCUGUUAUUAGGGAAGAACAAAUGUGUAAGUAACUAUGCACGUCUUGACGGUACCUAAUCAGAAAGCCACGGCUAACUACGUG
RNAcentral lists this ribosomal RNA (497 nucleotides) under uncultured bacterium. Its description in RNAcentral is "partial 16S ribosomal RNA". It matches the Rfam family "Bacterial small subunit ribosomal RNA", at positions 28 to 507 of the family's 1533-position model. The record is from RNAcentral.